This 1311-nucleotide ribosomal RNA is filed under the name Engraulis encrasicolus (European anchovy). Its description in RNAcentral is "partial 16S ribosomal RNA". It matches the Rfam family "Bacterial large subunit ribosomal RNA", at positions 539 to 2568 of the family's 2925-position model. The record is from RNAcentral. Lineage: Eukaryota; Metazoa; Chordata; Actinopteri; Clupeiformes; Engraulidae.
UGAAAUAACCCAUUAAAGCACAGAAAAGCAGAGAUAACCUCUCGUACCUUUUGCAUCAUGAUUCAGCAAGUUAACUCAAGCGAAGAGCACUCUAGUUUGCACCCCCGAAACUUGACGAGCUACUCCGAGACAGCCAACUAUGGGCCAACCCGUCUCUGUGGCAAAAGAGUGGGAAGAUCUCCGAGUAGAGGCAAAAAACCUACCGAGCCAAGUUAUAGCUGGUUGCCCAAUAAAUGAAUACAAGUUCAGCCCUGCCUAGCCCGACUCACACCAGUUUUACGAAAAAAGACAAAGAGCUCACUCGCAGGAGUUAAUCAGAGGAGGUACAGCUCCCCUGAUACAGGAUACAACCUUUUUAGGAGACAAAAGAAUAUUGCCAAACAAGGCCUUGGGUCUCAGUGGGCCUGAAAGCAGCCAUCUGAUCUGAAAGCGUUAAAGCUCCGGCCAAAAGAAAGCCUUUUAUUUAAUCUUAAUAUCUGCUCCCCUAAACCUUAUUGGGCCUCUCCAUGCAUCCAUGGAAGAGACUAUGCUGGAACGAGUAACAAGAAGAAUGAACUUCUCCACGCACAAGUGUAUGUCAAAUUGGACCAACCAUCGACAAUCAACGAACCCAACAAAAGAGGGCCCUACACACCCGCCACCUCUGACCAAGAAAACUAUGUUCCCCAGAAUCGUUGCCCCGACACAGGAGUGCCAGAACAAGGAAAGACUUAAAGAAAAAAAAGGAACUCGGCAAACCCAGACCUCGCCUGUUUACCAAAAACAUCGCUCUUGCAUUCCAAAGUAUAAGAGUCCCACCUGCCCUGUGACUCUAAGUUUAACGGCCGCGGUAUUCUAACCGUGCGAAGGUAGCGCAAUCAAUUGCCUUUUAAAUGAAGGCCUGUAUGAAUGGUAUAACGAGGGUCUAGCUGUCUCUUUUUUCUAGUCAGUUAAACUGAUCUGUCCGUGCAGAAGCGGACAUAAAUAUACAAGACGAGAAGACCCUAUGGAGCUUUAGACACUAGCCAACUGUGAAUAAGCGACUGAACUGAACAAGUCCUAAAUACCCGCAGCCUUAUGGUGAUGUAGUCUUAGGUUGGGGCGACCACGGGAGAAAGUAAAGCUCCCAAGCAGACCGGGAAAACCCUUAAGCCGAGAGUUGCAACUCUAAGCCGCAAAAUUUUUGACUGAAAUGAUCCGGUUGAAAAACCGAUUAACGAACCAAGUUACCCUAGGGAUAACAGCGCAAUCCUCUCCCAGAGUCCCUAUCGACGAGGGGGUUUACGACCUCGAUGUUGGAUCAGGACAUCCUAAUGGUGCAGCCGCUAUUAA